Molecule: ribosomal RNA, 474 nt
Filed under: uncultured bacterium
Lineage: Bacteria
Description: bacterial SSU rRNA
Rfam family: Bacterial small subunit ribosomal RNA
Source: RNAcentral
CAAGUCGAACGGCAGCACGGGAGCUUGCUCCUGGUGGCGAGUGGCGAACGGGUGAGUAAAGCAUCGGAACGUACCUUGUCGAGGGGGAUAACUACGCGAAAGCGUAGCUAAUACCGCAUACGCCCUGAGGGGGAAAGCGGGGGACCUUCGGGCCUCGCGCGAUUGGAGCGGCUGAUGUCGGAUUAGCUAGUUGGUGGGGUAAAGGCCUACCAAGGCGACGAUCCGUAGCUGGUCUGAGAGGACGACCAGCCACACUGGGACUGAGACACGGCCCAGACUCCUACGGGAGGCAGCAGUGGGGAAUUUUGGACAAUGGGCGCAAGCCUGAUCCAGCCAUGCCGCGUGCAGGAUGAAGGCCUUCGGGUUGUAAACUGCUUUUGUACGGAACGAAAAGACUCCUUUUAAUAAAGGGGGUUCAUGACGGUACCGUAAGAAUAAGCACCGGCUAACUACGUGCCAGCAGCCGCGGUAAUA